RNAcentral lists this ribosomal RNA (118 nucleotides) under Staphylococcus haemolyticus. RNAcentral describes it as "partial 23S ribosomal RNA". It matches the Rfam family "Bacterial large subunit ribosomal RNA", at positions 1 to 117 of the family's 2925-position model. The record is from RNAcentral. Lineage: Bacteria; Bacillati; Bacillota; Bacilli; Caryophanales; Staphylococcaceae.
AGAUUAAGUUAUUAAGGGCGCACGGUGGAUGCCUUGGCACUAGAAGCCGACGAAGGACGUUACUAACGACGAUAUGCUUUGGGUAGCUGUAAGUAAGCGUUGAUCCAGAGAUUUCCGA